UCUCUGCUGCACUUCACUUGGA
Molecule: unclassified non-coding RNA, 22 nt
Filed under: Mus musculus (house mouse)
Lineage: Eukaryota; Metazoa; Chordata; Mammalia; Rodentia; Muridae
Description: oocyte_clustered_small_RNA11011
Source: RNAcentral